ACGAACGCUGGCGGCGUGCCUAAUACAUGCAAGUAGAACGCUGAAGAGAGGAGCUUGCUCUUCUUGGAUGAGUUGCGAACGGGUGAGUAACGCGUAGGUAACCUGCCUUGUAGCGGGGGAUAACUAUUGGAAACGAUAGCUAAUACCGCAUAACAAUGGAUGACACAUGUCAUUUAUUUGAAAGGGGCAAUUGCUCCACUACAAGAUGGACCUGCGUUGUAUUAGCUAGUAGGUGAGGUAAUGGCUCACCUAGGCGACGAUACAUAGCCGACCUGAGAGGGUGAUCGGCCACACUGGGACUGAGACACGGCCCAGACUCCUACGGGAGGCAGCAGUAGGGAAUCUUCGGCAAUGGGGGCAACCCUGACCGAGCAACGCAGCGUGAGUGAAGAAGGUUUUCGGAUCGUAAAGCUCUGUUGUAAGUCAAGAACGGGUGUGAGAGUGGAAAGUUCACACUGUGACGGUAGCUUACCAGAAAGGGACGGCUAACUACGUG
RNAcentral lists this ribosomal RNA (496 nucleotides) under uncultured bacterium. RNAcentral's name for it is "partial 16S ribosomal RNA". It matches the Rfam family "Bacterial small subunit ribosomal RNA", at positions 29 to 507 of the family's 1533-position model. The record is from RNAcentral.